CAUUCUCAUCCAGUCCAUUAAAGUGAUCUUUACCUUCAAAAUAUAAAAAAACUUGCUAAAAACCCACUCCAACCUAUCCACUAUAUCUAGACCUUAACCUUAAAUAUUAAAAAAAAAGCCACAGUAACUUUUUAUACAUAAAAAGCUACUGUAGCUCUCUAUUUCCAACAACCACAUCUCAUUUCAUCUUCUCCCGCCCCUCUCCUCUACACAUCGAUUACCAGCAACAAAUUCAACCAAACUACUGCACUUGCUAGGUUCGGAUUUGAGGGUUUCUAUUUGAAAACACUUCCGAUUUGUAAACAUUGGCGAUGAUACGGCUUCGGUCACACACAAAAACACACACUUGCUCGGUCCAGUCUACUCAUCAUCAGUCAUCGCAAGUAAUCGAGAGAUCCAAACACUUCGAAUAAGAUCCACACUUGUCGCAUUUCUAUUUCACCUGUCGCGGACCUUGAAUAUGUUCUGAAUUCCGUGAAGAAAGGUGCUGAAGUUGAAUUGUAAUGCAGGUGACGAGCUUGAACUUUCGGAAGCUAUUAGAGAUUAUCAUGAUAGUACUGGAUUGCCUCAUAUAGUAAGUUGAACUGUUGAAGGUUGAACUAGCUAGUAUUGAAUGUCGAAACUGAUAUCAGAUAUUUUGUGUUACUUAUAUGUGAUGGUGAAAGUAGUGUUGUCAAGAGUGGCUAUGGAAAUGUGGUAAUUGAGUAUUUCAUGUCACUAUAUAAUAUAUGAUUUAGAUUUUCAUCUCUUUUUGCUGAA
Molecule: long non-coding RNA, 759 nt
Organism: Helianthus annuus (common sunflower)
Lineage: Eukaryota; Viridiplantae; Streptophyta; Magnoliopsida; Asterales; Asteraceae
Exons: 2
Source: RefSeq, a predicted model, not a curated record